AUGCUAUGUCAACAGGGCCUACUAAAUGCAAUUAAUCAAGUAUUUCUCAACUACCACCAAAGAUUUUGCCUUAGACACUUGUAUGCAAACUUCCAGAAUGCUGGGUUUAGGGGAGAAGAUCUUAAGAAAUGCAUGGAUAAUGCUAGUUAUGCUUAUAACCAAUACAAGCUUGACAUUGCAAUGAAUGAUCUAAAAAAUGAGAGUGAGGAAGCUUGGAAGUGGCUGAGUGGAAUACCUGCAAGAUUCUGGGCUAGGCAUGCUUUUGACACAAACUGUAAGACAGACUUGGUUGUUAACAACCUAUCUGAGGUGUUCAACAAGUACAUCCUUGAUUUUAGGAAAAAACCUAUUAGGACUAUGAUUGAUGGUAUUAAGAAUAAGCAGAUGGUGAGGUGGCAUAGGAAUAGAGAGAGUGGAAAGGCAACUCUGUGGGAGAUCACAUCCCAUUAUGCUGAGAAGUUAGAGGUGGAAAAGGAAAGGGCCAGAUUCUGUAAACCCAUUCAAGCUGGUGUUAAUUUAUGGCAAGUAACCAGUGGGCAGCAAACACAUGCUAUCAACUUGGCACUUCAUACAUGUGGUUGCAGAAAGUGGGACCUAAGUGGGACACCAUGCAACCAUGCAAUAUCGGCAAUUAACAAGGAAAAAAGAUUUCUAGAGGACUGUGUGCAAAUUCUUCAAAAAACCAUUUUACCUAGCAGCUUAUGA
Molecule: ribosomal RNA, 705 nt
Filed under: Triticum aestivum (bread wheat)
Lineage: Eukaryota; Viridiplantae; Streptophyta; Magnoliopsida; Poales; Poaceae
Description: partial small subunit ribosomal RNA
Source: RNAcentral